This 6119-nucleotide long non-coding RNA is filed under the name Homo sapiens (human). RNAcentral describes it as "HSALNT0004260". The record is from RNAcentral. Lineage: Eukaryota; Metazoa; Chordata; Mammalia; Primates; Hominidae.
ACCUCCCUAUUGUGCAACGCCCUCUCUUCAACAGGUUGGGCCCAGGCCAGAGGUCUCUACCAGCAAAGAGGAUAAAAGAGACUACACCUGGACAAACCCUCCCAGGCCCAGGCCUGAGCCUCACAUGUGGCCCCGGGGAAGGCAUCAGGGACUCCCUUUGCCCUCCCACUGACCUCCCUGCAAACCUCCCCCAAACCAAGGGGCAUCCUCAGCUGGCCAGACCCUGGGGGAAGGGAGAGAGCCGAGGAUCACCGGCACCUGUGGCUGGGUUACCCCUGCCAUGGACCACUGGGUGAUCAAGAAGUCAUUCCAAAAUGUGAAGCGUUCUGAAGAUAUGCACAUAGCGUAAGAACCUGGUGUAAUGUGCUGGUCAAGGCGGUCUCAGAGAGGAGAUGACGUUUGAGCUGACACCUGAGGGAUGAGAAGAAAGCAGCCAUUCCCAGGGCCCAGGGGAGGCAUCCCAGGAAGCCGGAUCAGCAUGAGCAAAAGCCCUGAGGCCUGGCACAAGUUGGUCUGCUUGAGAAGCAGGAGAGAGCCCUGAGCAUCCGGAGUGCAGCAAGCGAGGUGCACAGAGGAGCAGGAAGGGGCUGGGAGAAGGCUGGGGCCGGAUCAUGCAGGACAGGCUGGAGGAAGGGGCUUGAAUUGUCUUCUGACCACUGAGGGGAUAUAAACAUGAGGGCAAAAUCAUCUGAUUUCCAUGUGCAAAGGCCCACUCUGGCUGCUCUAGAGAGAACAGAUGAUUGCAGGGUAAAAGUGGAUUUAGAGAGGUCAGAUGGAGGCUGGGUACGUGCCGUGUAUGGUAGAUAGCAUGCUACCAAAUACACUCACAGGUAGCCCUAUUAUCUCCAUUUCACAGAUGAGCAAGUCAAGAUGCAGAAGGACUCUCUGGCUUGUCCAAGGUCACACGGCUGUUAGGAGCAGAGCAGCGUCCUGGUGCCCAAGCCCUGAGGUCCCCAGCACACUGCCUCUGCAAUGGCCACAACUGUCCAAAGACUAAGCUGACUCUCACACCUGGUAGUGUCUGUGGUCAUUCACUGUGGAUGGAAGUGGAGAAAUGCAGAAAACAGAAACACAGCUUCCCCUUUUCUGUCAUAUUUCUGUAUCGUUGGUGUUUGGAGCCAGUUGAGCACAAAGGGCCCCUGAGUGCUGUUUCCUUGUGAUAUUUGGGGGUUAACAGCUUCCCCUCAUCUCUUAAUUACCUGCCCUCCUUCACUUCAGCUGCACAUUCGUUAAAGAAUGCUCUCCCAGGAGAAGAGCUUGGUGUUAUCACCCACAAACAUCUUAGAAAACUAAUGCUAUCCUUGAGUGCCUGUUUACAGAAACAUUUUUACAUCUCACUUGACAUUUCCAGCAAAUCUUGAUCCUUCCAGCCAGGAAUAUUAAUAUAUAGGUCUUGAAAAGUGCAAGAGGCUCUUCCAUGGCUCCAAGCACAUUUGACACUCUUCCUUUUCUGAUCCCCAAGCAGACAGUGAUGAAACCCCAAUAGCUGGGCGAAUACUCAUCCAACAGGAAGAAUCAGUUUUAAGAGCUGGGUUCUCAGGGUCAAAUACUGUGGUGUGGCCUUUUGGUUGUAAUGAGUUGAAUGGAGGUCUCAAAAAAGAUAUAUCCAUGUUCUAAUCCCCAGAACUUGUGAAUGUGACCUUAUUUGGAAAAAGAGUCCUUUUGGAUGUAAUUAAGUUAAGGAUUUUGAGAUAAGGAGAUCAUCCUGGGUUAUCUGGGUGGACCCUAAAUCUGUUGACAAUGUCCUUAUGAGAGACCCCAGAGGGCACAGACAGGAAAGGAAGAGGCAAUGUGGCCCCAGAGGCUGAGAUCAGAGCUCUGUGGCCACAAUUCGAGGAACACCUGGAGCCACCAGAAGCUGGAGGAGGCAAGGAACAGAUUCUCCCUGAUCCUCUGGAUACAGAGGGAGAAUAGCCUGGCCGACACCUUGAUUUUGGACUUCUGGCCCCCAGAACUGAGAAAAUUAACUUCUGUUGUGUUAAGCAGCCACGUUUGUAGCAGUUCAUCAUAGCAGCCCUGGGAAAGAAAUACAGUGGGCUUCCAGUUCAAGGAGGAUCCACGAGGCCUGAGCUCCAUCUGUCGAUUGGAAUCACCAAAAUCAAGGUUGUGUGCGGGUAACGCCAGCACAAGCAGCUCAUGCUGGCAAAAGCAGACCAAACCGGCUCACGCAACGUCAAGUCAUCUUGAAGUGGUUCACGCACCACAGUGAGUGGUAUUGAUUGUGGUUAAGAGCCAGGUUCAAGGAGGUUUAUCACUCAGUAGCCAGGUAAAGCAGGUUCCAGGCCUGGCUCCACCACUCAACAACCGGGGAAACAGGGGAGCAGACCUGCAGAGGGGCCAGAAGACACCUGGCCGGGUGGGGAGCAGCCCCUCCGUAAUAACAAUCGGAACCUGGGAAGAUAAGUAGAGUCCCAGGGGAGGGACAGAGUUUCCCCUGUGUCACCACAUGGCUACUUUGACACAAAUGCACGUGGGCAGAGAGAGGCAUGCAGGUCAAGGGCCUGGCAGGGAGUCAGGGGCCCUCAGUGCCAGUCCUGGCUCUGCCUCUGCCUCUGACACGCCAUGUGACCUUGAGCAAGUCACCACCCUGUCUGGGCUUCGCUAACCCAUAUACGGAAUGAGAAGGUAUCGUCCCUGGUCACUGCAGGUUUUAAAUCAUGUAGUGAGAGAGAGCUCAUUUGGUCCAACUCUCUGCAACUGAAGGAAUGGAGACACCAAGGGGGAGUAAUCGGCCGCAGUGAUGAGUGGGUGGCAAAGGGAGCUAUCACUACCAUUGAUUAUCCAGCUACUUGUGCUUGAUAAACUCCCUCCUGGUGGAAUGGGCUUUCCCACAUCCAGCAGCACAAAUGCUGUGAGCAUCUACUACGGGCUGGGCACCUUCUCUGGGCUGGCACUUGACAUGGGUUAUCUCAUUUAACUCCCUAACAACCCUAUGUGGUAUUAUCAUCCCCAUUUCACAGGCGGCAAAACUGAAUCCCAGAGAGAAGACUCACUCAGACACAGCUAUCUGAACACUCUUUUCCAGUUCCCCUAGGGCAGCAGAGGAAGCAAGGUGGGGGGAAGCCAGUGGUCAAGGAUUCCAUGCGGAAUGUACCCUAGAAUUAACCCAUGGAGAGAGGGGUCUCGCUCUGUUGCCCAGGCUGUAGUACAAUGGUGCAAUCUCGGCUCACUGCAACCUCUGCCUCUGGGUUCAAGCGAUCCUUUGCCUCCGCCUCCUGAGUAGCUGGAAUUACAGGCAUGCACCAUGAUGCUUGGUUAAUUUUUGUAUUUUUAGUAGAGUCAGGGUUUUGCUAUGUUGGCCAGGCUGGGCUCCAACUUCUGGUCUCAAGUGAUCCACCCGCCUCGGGCUCCCAAAGUGCCAGGAUUACAGGCGUGAGCCACUAUGCCUGGCCAAAAGUGGCGAUGUGUUCUUAAUGCCCAUUUUCACAUAAAAGGCUUCCAGGAGGGGCCUCCCUGGGCUCCCGGAGGACACCCACAGUCCUCACCAUGCAGCUCCCUCCAACAUCAAGCCAGGAAUGGCCGAACAGAUCUUUCUCAUGCUUCAAAUCUCUGAUGAAUUUCUCUUGCCAGAGAAAGCUUGCCAUUUUCCAAGGGCUCACCCAGUCAGAUCCGUCCAACAAGGGUGAUCUCCCUAACAUUAGGUUAACUGACUUGGAACCUCAGUUAAUCUGCAAAAUCCCUUUUGUCAUAUAAUGGAAUACAAUCAUUUGGUUCACAUGCUCAUCUUAUUCACAGGCCCUACACUCAUACAAGGGCAGGGGACCACAGAAGAGUGAAGGCCAGUGAGGGUCACCUCAGAAUUCUGCCCAACACCGGUGUUUUGUAAUUUGGGUAGAUGUUGCCAUGUUGUCCUCCGUGGGGAUUAUGCAGAGGGAACUCUCCUCCUCCAGCAACAGUACAUGUACCUGCUUUUCCAUGGUGCUGCUUAGAGAAUGUUAUCAAACCUUUGGAUUUCUGCCAGUCUGAUAGGAGAAAAAUGGAAUCUCAAUUGUAUUUUAAAAUUGUAAUUAUCGCCUUAUGAAUAAGGCUGAGCAUUUCCUCAAAAGCAUAAGAGCCAUUUAUAUACUUUUUUCUUUAUGGCUUCUGGUUUUGAGGCAUAGAAAGGUCUUUCUAGCUCUAAAGUUAAUCAGAAAUUCUCUGUUUUCUUUUUGCUUUUUUUAAAAUUUUACUUUAAGUCCUUGGAUACAUGUGCUGAACGUGCAGGUUUGUUACAUAGGUAUACAUGGGCCAUGGUGGUUUGCUGCACCUAUCAACCCGUCAUCUAGGUUUUAAGCUCCACAUGCAUUAGGUAUUUGUCCUAAUGCUCUUCCUCCUCUUUCCCCAUGCCCCCAACAGGCCCCGGUGUGUGAUGUUCCCCUCCCUGUGUCCAUGUGUUCUCAUUGUUUAGCUCCCACUUAUGAGUGAGAACAUGCAGUGUUUGGUUUUCUGUUCCUGUGUUAGUUUGCUGAGGAUGAUGGUUUUCAGCUUCAUCCAGGUCCCUGCAAAGGACAUGAACUCAUUCUUUUUUAUGGCUGCAUAGUAUUCCAAGUUGCAUAUGUGCCACAUUUUCUUUAUCCAGUGUAUCAUUGAUGGGCUUUUGGGUUGCUUCCAAGUCUUUGCUAUCGUAAGUAGUGCUGCAAUAAACAAAUGUAUGCAUGUGUCUUUAUAGUAGAAUGAUUUAUAAUCCUUUGGGUAUAUACCCAGUAAUGGGAUUGCUGGGUCAAAUGGUAUUUCUAGUUCUAGAUCCUCGAGGAGUCGCCACACUGUCUUCCACAAUGGUUGAGCUAAUUUACACUCCCACCAACAGUGUAAACGUGUUCCUAUUUCUCCACAUCCUCACCAGCAUUUGUUAUUUCCAGACUUUUUAAUGAUUGCCAUUCUAACUGGCAUGAGAUGGUAUCUCCUUGUGGUUUUGAUUUGCAUUUCUCAGCUCAUUGCAACCUCUGCCUCCCAGGUUCAAGCAAUUCUCCUGCCUCAGCCUCCAGAGUAGCUGGGAUUACAGGGGCACGCCACCAAGCCCAGCUAAUUUUUGUAUUUUUAGCAGAAACAGGGCUUCACCAUGUUGGCCAGUCUGGUCUCAAACUCCUGAUCUCAAGUGAUCCAUCCACCUCAGCCUCCCAAAGUGCUGGGAUUAUAGGCGUGAGCCACCACGGCUGGCCAUUCUCCUGUGUUUUCUUCUGGGGCUUUUAUACUUUCAUUUUUUAAAAUCCAUAGUUUCUUGGAGCUGGAGGUGUCCCUUGUCAUUUUCUCAUCAGUGAGUGCAAAGCAGGAUCCCAAAAGGAUUGGAGUCCAGAGUAGAGAAAGGAGCUGCCGCGGUGGAGUCUGUUCAGUGCAGGCUCUGAUCUCCUUCAGCCCUGCCAGGAAUCCCAGCCAGCAGAUCUUCUUCCAGCUUCCCUUUCUCCAGCACUCUUGAUCUUCUGGGCUGGCACAGGGUCCAGGGUUGAUGGGGAUCCUAGCUGCCUGAGGAGCUUCCAGUCUGGAGGGUGAUACAAGCACAUGGCCAGACCUGAAUUCAAGCCAUGAGAGAGAUUCAGAACCUGGGCUGGGAGCGCAGGGGAGGGAGCGGGGUGCUGAUGGGGGUGGAUGGGAGGCUCCAGAGAGGAGGUGGCGUCUGAACUGAACCUUAAGAAUGAGGGGAAAUGUAAUGGCAGCGAUGAGAAAGGGGAGGCACUUCAGUGCAGAGAACAGCAAGAGCAAAGACAAGGAGGUGGAAAAUCAGCCAGAAACCUAGCCUGGAGAGGGUUUAGUGGACCAUGGGUCCUUGAUGGUAGAGACACAACAUGACUUAUCUCUGUGUCCCAUCCUCUGUGCCAGAGGCGGCAUCGACCAGACUUGGACAAAUGAAGCAGAAGGGACAGGGGACUUAGAAUACUAGGCUGCAUCAUUUUCUUUUUACUCUGACAGUGAGAAGCAAAGACCUCCACAAAGAAAGAAGCCCUUGGCUGUGUCAUCAUUUUAGAAUCUGGGCACUCUCUGCACACCACUGCCCCCUCAUGGCUGAUCUAGGAAUUCUCUCUAAAUCCCAGACUGAAGGUGAGGAGGAGGCUCAGUGAGUCUUAGAGAUUUGAAAAGCCGUGAAAUCCUGGUUGGAGAACAUCUGAGUCCAAAGGGCCCUCAGAGACUCUCUGACUUCCUCAUUA